GAUGAACGCUGGCGGCGUGCCUAAUACAUGCAAGUCGAGCGAACGGACGAGAAGCUUGCUUCUCUGAUGUUAGCGGCGGACGGGUGAGUAACACGUGGAUAACCUACCUAUAAGACUGGGAUAACUUCGGGAAACCGGAGCUAAUACCGGAUAAUAUUUUGAACCGCAUGGUUCAAAAGUGAAAGACGGUCUUGCUGUCACUUAUAGAUGGAUCCGCGCUGCAUUAGCUAGUUGCUAAGGUAACGGCUUACCAAGGCAACGAUGCAUAGCCGACCUGAGAGGGUGAUCGGCCACACUGGAACUGAGACACGGUCCAGACUCCUACGGGAGGCAGCAGUAGGGAAUCUUCCGCAAUGGGCGAAAGCCUGACGGAGCAACGCCGCGUGAGUGAUGAAGGUCUUCGGAUCGUAAAACUCUGUUAUUAGGGAAGAACAUAUGUGUAAGUAACUGUGCACAUCUUGACGGUACCUAAUCAGAAAGCCACGGCUAACUACGUG
RNAcentral lists this ribosomal RNA (497 nucleotides) under uncultured bacterium. RNAcentral's name for it is "partial 16S ribosomal RNA". It matches the Rfam family "Bacterial small subunit ribosomal RNA", at positions 28 to 507 of the family's 1533-position model. The record is from RNAcentral.